AUGCAAAGCGCAUUUAUUUUCAGCUUUUAUCUCUGGAAUUGGAAGGAAAAAAAAAACACUUUCAUAUAUUUUUCCUGCUGGGUGGUCAGAAGGAAAGGCCACGAAGCUAAAGGCGUCCCAUUGAGACACUGCUCUGCAAAGACGGACCUCACGUGUUGCCGCCAGAGAAGAGAGCACCUGUUCAUCCCGGCUCACUGUGAGGCUGAGCUCAGCGCUGGCAGGCGAGGGACCUCACGUGUCCCCCACAGCCACAGAGAGGGCUUCCCUGCAGGGAAAUCACAUCCGAUGUGCCUGUGCCUACACCAGACUUAAGACAGCCUCGAACACGUCCACGAAGCCAUUGUCCAGUAGGGCUGUUAGUUUUAAUGCCAGUAAGUAUUAUCUUUGAUUAAAAGGAUGAAUGUAUAUAGGGGUGUGUGUGUGUGUGUGUGUGUGUGUGUGUGUGUGUGUACUUGUGUGUGACAUAGGGAAAAGGUGUGGAGAAUGAAGAAAGGGUUCCAUUUAAGCAUUUGCAAAUAUUCGACGGCACCAUGAAAAGACAAAAAAAUAUGUCAUAUUUUGCUAUGAUUUUGUGUGUACUUGUAAUAAAAUUGUUAAAUAUAAAUUGUUCUGUAUUUCUUUUGCAAGCAUAAAUUCUAA
This 639-nucleotide long non-coding RNA is filed under the name Aotus nancymaae (Ma's night monkey). Its description in RNAcentral is "lncRNA (ENSANAG00000039191.1)". Lineage: Eukaryota; Metazoa; Chordata; Mammalia; Primates; Aotidae. The record is from RNAcentral.